RNAcentral lists this long non-coding RNA (247 nucleotides) under Elaeis guineensis (African oil palm). RNAcentral's name for it is "long non-coding RNA (EGUI_LNC031079)". Lineage: Eukaryota; Viridiplantae; Streptophyta; Magnoliopsida; Arecales; Arecaceae. The record is from RNAcentral.
CGGACCAUCUGAAUUUCUAAUUCAAUGACGGAAGGUUACUGGAUGCAGUCAAGUACUUAUCAAGUCGGUGUGUGAAUCAAGAUGGGAUUGACCCCUUGAAAAAGUAAGAGAUAUGCAUUAAUGUAUUUCAAUUUAGUAAAAUCUUGACCAGGAUAAUCUAUGUGAUGUAUUUGAAAGGGUGAAAUACAAUGUGGUUGACUAUUUUAGAGUUGACAGUCAAACCCAAGGUUACUUUGAGCAUUGGGUC